AAAAAGACAAACCCUGAAUUUUCGUGUCCAACUUUCCGUCUUAUAUAAAAUUUUUUUAUAAUUCAUAUUUUUAUUGUUGUUAGAUGAUAAAACAUAAUUAAUAUUUUAUGGGUGACUUAUCUUUUUAAUUUUUUUAAUAAUUUUUUUAAAUAAGACGGACGGACAAAUAUUGGGCACGGAAAGUAAUGUUUGUCUUUUUU
Molecule: non-coding RNA, 200 nt
Organism: Oryza glumipatula
Lineage: Eukaryota; Viridiplantae; Streptophyta; Magnoliopsida; Poales; Poaceae
Source: Rfam